This 750-nucleotide ribosomal RNA is filed under the name uncultured Microgenomates group bacterium. Its description in RNAcentral is "bacterial SSU rRNA". It matches the Rfam family "Bacterial small subunit ribosomal RNA", at positions 567 to 1329 of the family's 1533-position model. The record is from RNAcentral.
GUUCGUAGGCUGUUUAUUAAGUUGGGGGUGAAAUCUCCGGGCUCAACCCGGAGCUCGUUCUCAAAACUGGUAGACUUGAGUAAGGUAGAGGCUGACGGAAUUCUGCAAGUAGGGGUAAAAUCCGUUGAUCUGCAGAGGAACACCAAAAGCGAAGGCAGUCAGCUGGGCCUUUACUGACGCUGAGGGACGAAAGCGUGGGUAGCGAACGGGAUUAGAUACCCCGGUAGUCCACGCCGUAAAUGAUGGAUACUGGACAUUGGUACUCGAUCGUAUCAGUGUCUCAAGCUAACGCAUUAAGUAUCCCGCCUGGGGAGUACGGUCGCAAGAUUAAAACUCAAAGGAAUAGACGGGGACCCACACAAGCGGUGGAGCAUGUGGUUUAAUUCGACAAUAAGCGAGGAACCUUACCAGGGCUUGACAUCCCGAGAAUUCUUUAGAAAUAGAGAAGUGCCUUUAUGGAACUCGGUGACAGGUGCUGCAUGGUUGUCGUCAGCUCGUGCCUUGAGGUGUUCGGUUAAGUCCGUAAACGAGCGCAACCCUAGUCCUAUGUUGUAUAUUUCAUAGGAGACUGCCUUGUCCAACGAGGAGGAAGGUUAGGAUGACGUCAAAUCAGCAUGGCCCUUAUGUCCUGGGCGACACACGUGCUACAAUGGUCGGUACAAUGGGUAGCCAACCCGCGAGGGGGAGCCAAUCCCAUCAAAGCCGGUCCAAGUUCGGAUUGGAGGCUGCAACUCGCCUCCAUGAAGUUGG